RNAcentral lists this microRNA (22 nucleotides) under Eisenia fetida (common brandling worm). RNAcentral's name for it is "Efe-Mir-2690-P4_5p* (star (passenger))". Lineage: Eukaryota; Metazoa; Annelida; Clitellata; Crassiclitellata; Lumbricidae. The record is from RNAcentral.
ACCCUGGACUCUCUGGCACGCA